UCAAACUUUGAAAUCCUGCCCCCAUUUCGGGGGUCCGAGUUGUAAUUUGUAGAGAGUGUUUCGGGUGAGACUACGGUCUAAGUCCAUUGGAACAUGGCGUCAUAGAGGGUGAGAAUCCCGUAUGUGACUGUGGAUCGAGCCCAUGUGAAGCCUCUUCGACGAGUCGAGUUGUUUGGGAAUGCAGCUCAAAAUGGGUGGUAAAUUUCAUCUAAAGCUAAAUACUGGCUGGAGACCGAUAGCGCACAAGUAGAGUGAUCGAAAGAUGAAAAGCACUUUGGAAAGAGAGUCAAACAGUACGUGAAAUUGUUGAAAGGGAAGCGCUUGCAACCAGACCUGUCCGUAGGUGAUCAGCCGCUGUUCUCAGUGGUGCACUCGCUCUGCGAUCAGGCCAGCAUCGGUUCGGGCGGUCGGAUAAAGGCCUUGGGAAUGUAGCUCCCUUCGGGGAGUCUUAUAGCCCUCGGUGCAAUGCGGCCAGCCGGGACCGAGGACCGCGCUUCGGCUAGGAUGCUGGCGUAAUGGUUGUAAGCGACCCGUCUUGAAACACGGACCAAGGAGUCUAACAUCUAUGCGAGUGUUUGGGUGUUAAACCCAUGCGCGGAAUGAAAGUGAACGGAGGUGAGAACCCUUAAGGGCGCAUCAUCGACCGAUCCAGAUGUCUUCGGAUGGAUUUGAGUAUGAGCAUAGCUGUUGGGACCCGAAAGAUGGUGAACUAUGCCUGAAUAGGGUGAAGCCAGAGGAAACUCUGGUGGAGGCUCGCAGCGGUUCUGACGUGCAAAUCGAUCGU
RNAcentral lists this ribosomal RNA (784 nucleotides) under Hypogymnia tavaresii. Its description in RNAcentral is "partial large subunit ribosomal RNA". It matches the Rfam family "Eukaryotic large subunit ribosomal RNA", at positions 109 to 905 of the family's 3401-position model. The record is from RNAcentral. Lineage: Eukaryota; Fungi; Ascomycota; Lecanoromycetes; Lecanorales; Parmeliaceae.